This is a long non-coding RNA of Loxodonta africana (African savanna elephant), 3085 nucleotides long. RefSeq lists it as uncharacterized. The record is from RefSeq and is a predicted model, not a curated record. Lineage: Eukaryota; Metazoa; Chordata; Mammalia; Proboscidea; Elephantidae. The transcript has 3 exons.
UCUUAUUUGAGGCCUUGGGGUUUGGGGUGGGAGACUGAAGGUGGGGCUGUACUAUUUUCUACAACUGACUUGCCUUGCGUGUCAUCCAAGCACCAAGUUCUGUUCACAGAGGAAGUGAGAGGUGCCCAAUUUGGUCAUGCAGAACACAGCUAGGCUCCAUGAAACGAAACACAGUGGCUACUCCGAAGGAGGUGUCAGCCCUGGGCCGGUCCAGGGUUGAGUCACAGCAGACGCCACUCCCAUGUCAAGAAGAGCAGCUUGGCCCUCACUUAGGGCAUUUCCGCCCCACUCCCUGGAAUCUACAUUAAUGGAAAAAAGAAGGGAAAAGAGAGGAAAAUAAAAGAAGCCAAUACCAGAAUGACCAAGCAAGUUGAGCAAGACGAGGGUUGCCUGGUCAUAGCAGUGCCUGGUGUGGGUCACAGCAUCUGACCAGCCCCACCCAGCCAGGGUUAACCCCCACUGGGGCAUCUGAGCCUUGGGUACCUCCAGGACUUAUGAGCAAAUCUAGGUUGUGUGAGGCCAGAAGAUUUACAAUUUUGGGGCACUCUUUCAAAAGCAGAAUACCAAAUUACAAAAACAACAUGAAGUAUAAAAGUGAAUAUUCAGAUUAAGGGGGGAAAUCACAUCAAAUUGCUGACGUCACUACAGAUUUAGGUCUCUUUCUCAGAGGUCUCUUUAGGCAGUUUACCAGAAAUGCGUGCAUAAAAACGCUUCCUGUUUGUAACUUGGCUUCCUUUCCUUGCCUAGAAAACUUGACAGCUCCCAGCAUCUCUCACAGGGCCCUGGAAGCUUCCAUCUUAUCAGCUUUAUGAACACAGAGAUAUUCCUGGAAGGGAAAACUCAGCUGUCUGAGCCAGAAUUCGGCAACGACUGGCUCACGAAUGAGCACCAAGUGCAGGUGCGCUUCAAGACCCCAGAGGCCAAAUAAUCUCCACAGGAGCAACUGCGACAACCACAGUGACGACAGGCGCCAGGGGCAGCGGGAAGCCAAGAACCCAUCGAGGACCCUCCCUCAACCCCACAACGUGUGUGUACCAAGCCGGGUGGGCUCUGUAGAAGAGAAAGGCUCCAGCACUGGACUUUACAAAAUUUAUAGAUGAGGAACCAAGCGCCAAUGAUGAGAAGUAGCUGCUCAAGGUCACACUGCCAGCAAGUGGAGAAGUUGGGGUUUGAACCGGGGUUCAGACUCCUGGUAGAUCCAAGUGCAAGAUUAUGAAGAGUGAAAAAUCAACUCCUUAAAUCAAAGCAAAGCCUGAGAGAAUCACAGAAACACCCUGAGGAUCACAAUUCAGAUGCUAGAGAAAUGUAGUCAUUCUCAUGAUUUAUAAAUGGGGAAAUUUUCAAGAUUUUAUUUAAUUGUCAAAAUAGUAUCUGUUGGCAAUGCUCUAUUUCUCAACCUGGGAGGUGGACACUUGGGUGUUUCUUUGAGCUAAAUCAUUUCACCACAUUUGUUUUGUAUGCUUUCUCUGUGUUGUUGCAUUUCACAAUAAAAGGUUUAAAAAUAAGCCUGAGCUGCCCUAUGGAUGGAUGAUAUACAACCAUCUUCCCUUUAAAAAGUGGCCCAAUUUAGUAGUUCCCAAACCUGGCUGGCCAUUAGAAGCACAUGAGGAAACCUUUAAAAUGCAGAUUCCCACCCAAGACCUGGGGACUCAAAUUCCCUGGCUUGUAUCCUCAGAAAGCUCCCUGUGGUUCUACUGCUCAGUCAAGUUUGGGAACUCCAGGCCCCAAGUCCUUCGGCUCAGUUAAAACUGAUGUUUUCUGCGGAGUUGUUUCUUAUGGCCUCUUGAGAUGCUCAGAAUAAGCCUCGUGCCAGACAGAAGCCUGGUCAAUUCAACAAUGUUGUGUGUUCUGCUUUCCUGCCCUACACCCUGAACUCAGCUUUCUUCUGAACUUUUGAUCACUCUUUACCAUGGAACUAAGAAAAUAUAUACAUGUUAUAAGAAAAACCCUUUAGCUUAAACAUCAAAUGAACAUACAUCUGAUUCCUUUAGCCUAUCUCCCUCUUGAUACCUUCUGGGGAAAGACCCCAUGACACCCAGAGAAGAGACCUAUGUGGGGAGGUCAGAGGUUGGGUGGAGGCAGUCACAUCCAUGUGGGAUUCUACCAGCUCCUCCAUUCCUGAAAUUAACGUACUAGCAGUUAGUUCAUACACCUGCUAAGAAGGUACACUGGUCAGGGAAGGAGACAUUCCCCACAUUCUUCUUUAAUCUAGAGACAAUUGAGGAACCAUAGCAGCCAUGGCCACUCUUGGAAAGGAAGGGCAGGCAGAAGGGCUUAGGUGUGGGUUGAUGAUUCAGGAGAAGGAGAGAACACCACCCCCGUGUUCAAGAGCAAGACUCAUGGGGACCUUAAAGCAGCCAGCUUUGAGAGUAUCACUUUCCCUCAUUCUUUAUCCUAGAAAGAACACAAUCAAAAUACAGUUCCAUACGCUGCCCUUCCCCAAAAGAAAAAAGAAGGGAGCAGGAGUUUGGGACUUGCUUUGCAAUUUGAAUCUCAGGAAUGCAUAAGAAACAGCAGUUGCUGCCUUCUGAGCAAAGACGCUCUAUUGAAAUUUGACUCAUCCCUGGCAGUUUAUUGUGUUUUUUUUCCCCCUUCUUCCUUGUGACACAGAGGAGUGAGGUGAGUAAUGCCCUGCGCAGCAAGAGAAAAAUAGAGCCCCAAAUGCCUUCCAUUAUGCUAAAGGCCUAUGUCACCAGCUGUGGUGCAGGGGGUGUGGCCACCACCCAUUCGUAGGGGAAGAUUCAGAACAUCUGACUCCCUCUCUCCGAGGCUAUUUGUGGUUCUAAAAAUGGAACAAGCAGGGACUAAAAACUGAUAAACACAGAGAUGUUGAAAAGCCCUGCUGGGGGUCUUGUCGUAAGAGCUGAGGUGGUAGAGGGCCCUGGUAUGCAGGAGUUCCCAAGGCCACACAAAAGGAAAAUAGUUGGCCCAUUUUCUGUUGCUUAACACCUCCUUCCCCGCAGGGGUAAGAACGGCCUCUUCUUCCAAGAGUAAAAAUAGCUAAUAUUUACCGAGUGCCUGUUAUAAGGCAGGCAGCGAGCAAAGAAUUUUCCAGGGGUUAUGUAUGUCAUCUAGUAUGUAUACA